UCGAGGAUCUUUGGCAAUGGGCGCAAGCCUGACCAAGCGACGCCGCGUGUGCGAUGAAGGCCUUCGGGUUGUAAAGCACUGUCGAGGGGGAGGAAGCCGCAAGGUUGACCUAUCCCUGGAGGAAGCACGGGCUAAGUUCGUGCCAGCAGCCGCGGUAAGACGAACCGUGCGAACGUUGUUCGGAAUCACUGGGCUUAAAGGGCGCGUAGGCGGGCCGGAUAGUCUGUGGUGAAAGCCUCCAGCUUAACUGGAGAAGUGCCAUGGAUACUGCCGGUCUGGAGGAGGGUAGGGGCAUCUGGAACGCUGGGUGGAGCGGUGAAAUGCGUUGAUAUCCAGCGGAACUCCGGUGGCGAAGGCGAGGUGCUGGACCCUUUCUGACGCUGAGGCGCGAAAGCCAGGGGAGCAAACGG
RNAcentral lists this ribosomal RNA (410 nucleotides) under uncultured bacterium. RNAcentral's name for it is "bacterial SSU rRNA". It matches the Rfam family "Bacterial small subunit ribosomal RNA", at positions 355 to 775 of the family's 1533-position model. The record is from RNAcentral.